UACGUAGGUGGCAAGCGUUAUCCGGAUUUAUUGGGCGUAAAGGGAACGCAGGCGGUCUUUUAAGUCUGAUGUGAAAGCCUUCGGCUUAACCGGAGUAGUGCAUUGGAAACUGGGAGACUUGAGUGCAGAAGAGGAGAGUGGAACUCCAUGUGUAGCGGUGAAAUGCGUAGAUAUACGGAGGAACACCAGUGGCGAAGGCGGCCUGCUGGACAAUAACUGACGCUGAGGCGCGAAAGCGUGGGGAGCAAACAGG
RNAcentral lists this ribosomal RNA (253 nucleotides) under uncultured Lactobacillus sp. Its description in RNAcentral is "partial 16S ribosomal RNA". It matches the Rfam family "Bacterial small subunit ribosomal RNA", at positions 524 to 776 of the family's 1533-position model. Lineage: Bacteria; Bacillati; Bacillota; Bacilli; Lactobacillales; Lactobacillaceae. The record is from RNAcentral.